ACACAAAAUUGAUCUCCUUUUAAGGUUGGCAUCCUAUGGAAGAUAAGGAUAAGAAUAAGGUAGUUUUGUUUCAAAUUCAAAUGUUGGUUGAUCCUUAUUAUCAAUUCAAAUCUUUAUCUUUAUCUUUAUCUUAUGAACUUAGAGAGGGGUCGACCAAUAUCAGAAUGGUGCAAAAAAUCUCAUGCAAAAAUACUUUAUACAUGGAGAAA
Molecule: long non-coding RNA, 209 nt
Filed under: Elaeis guineensis (African oil palm)
Lineage: Eukaryota; Viridiplantae; Streptophyta; Magnoliopsida; Arecales; Arecaceae
Description: long non-coding RNA (EGUI_LNC058621)
Source: RNAcentral